CUGUAACCUACCAGGCUUCUCCGUCCAUGGGAUUUUCCAGGACUGUGGUGAGGAUGGAGUGAGAUACUGCGUCAAGACAGUGAUCUGUAGACUAGAAUGCACUUUUCAAAUGUGAGAGCACGAAGACUGUUGCAGUUGUUCAGACCUACCUAAAAUGGAAUUUGGGCUUUUUUGACUUUUGAAAUGAGUCAUAGCAUGUCUAAGUCAAUUAUGAAGAAAAUGUACGUGAGAGGCAAGAGCAACUCAUGAAUCAAGGAAAUAUCUCCUCUGAGCCACUUGCCUCUGAGAGGAACAUAGAAUUCUGACCUGUAGAAAAUGGAUAUAGUCAGACACUCUUUAUGAAGUUAGCAGUGGUUCUCAGCUUGAGCUGUUCAUUGUAAUCAUCAUCUCAGGGGAUCUUUUAAAAAUGGCUGUUGAGGAGUUCUGGUGCCCGGAGCUCAGCUAGGCAAACAGAACAGCCUCUGUCUGGAACAUUGCUUGAUCUAGUGGCAGAAGAAAAACAGAGAAUGUGGCAAACCAUGUGCUGACUCUGGACAUUUCUGCCUGAGAAUGACACACAUCACUUUCACCAAUAUUUCACCAGCCGAAGAAAUUCCAUCAAAAACAGGUUUUAUUUCAUCAGGAGUUGUCACAGUGACUAUAAUUGUGUGUGAACAUAUCAGAGAAUCAUCCUCUUUUCAUGUUUUCUCAGAAAAACAAACAAACAAACAAAAACUCAGCACAAAUCUCACCCUAUAAGAAGAUUACAUAAGCCACUGGACCAACCUUAGGAGGGCAGAAGCCAAAAAGAAGAAGGAAUUCAACCCUGAAGCCUGGGAAAAAGAGACCUCAAACACAAUAGGUUAAAAACAAUAGUGAAAAGGCGGAGAAAUACUAUACAAAUGAAGGAACAAACUAGAAACACAGAAGUCCAAUAAAUGAAGAGGAAAGAGGUAAACUACCUGAAAAAGAAUACAGAAUAAUGAUAGUAAAGAUGAUCAAAAACCUCGAAAACAAAAUGGAGAAGAUGUGAGAAUAACAAAGGCCUAGAAGAAUUAAAGAAUAAACAUACAGAGACAAACAACACAAUUAC
Molecule: long non-coding RNA, 1072 nt
Organism: Bos taurus (domestic cattle)
Lineage: Eukaryota; Metazoa; Chordata; Mammalia; Artiodactyla; Bovidae
Source: Ensembl